Molecule: ribosomal RNA, 982 nt
Filed under: Megasphaera paucivorans
Lineage: Bacteria; Bacillati; Bacillota; Negativicutes; Veillonellales; Veillonellaceae
Description: bacterial SSU rRNA
Rfam family: Bacterial small subunit ribosomal RNA
Source: RNAcentral
AAUACCCAUAGAUAGUGACGGUACCGUAAGAGAAAGCCACGGCUAACUACGUGCCAGCAGCCGCGGUAAUACGUAGGUGGCAAGCGUUGUCCGGAAUUAUUGGGCGUAAAGGGCGCGCAGGCGGCCUGUCAAGUCUGUCUUAAAAGUGCGGGGCUCAACCCCGUGAUGGGACGGAAACUGGCAGGCUGGAGUGUCGGAGAGGAAAGCAGAAUUCCUAGUGUAGCGGUGAAAUGCGUAGAUAUUAGGAGGAAUACCAGUGGCGAAAGCGGCUUUCUGGACGACAACUGACGCUGAGGCGCGAAAGCCAGGGGAGCAAACGGGAUUAGAUACCCCGGUAGUCCUGGCCGUAAACGAUGGGUACUAGGUGUAGGAGGUAUCGACCCCUUCUGUGCCGGAGUUAACGCAAUAAGUAUCCCGCCUGGGGAGUACGGCCGCAAGGCUGAAACUCAAAGGAAUUGACGGGGGCCCGCACAAGCGGUGGAGUAUGUGGUUUAAUUCGACGCAACGCGAAGAACCUUACCAAGCCUUGACAUUGAUUGAACGAGGCAGAGAUGCCUUUUUCCUCUUCGGAGGACAAGAAAACAGGUGGUGCACGGCUGUCGUCAGCUCGUGUCGUGAGAUGUUGGGUUAAGUCCCGCAACGAGCGCAACCCCUAUCUUCUGUUACCAGCACGUAAGGGUGGGGACUCAGGAGAGACUGCCGCAGACAAUGCGGAGGAAGGCGGGGAUGACGUCAAGUCAUCAUGCCCCUUAUGGCUUGGGCUACACACGUACUACAAUGGCUCUUAAUAGAGGGACGCGAAGGAGCGAUCUGGAGCAAACCCCAAAAACAGAGUCCCAGUUCGGAUUGCAGGCUGCAACCCGCCUGCAUGAAGCAGGAAUCGCUAGUAAUCGCAGGUCAGCAUACUGCGGUGAAUACGUUCCCGGGCCUUGUACACACCGCCCGUCACACCACGAAAGUCAUUCACACCCGAAGCCGGUAA